This 253-nucleotide ribosomal RNA is filed under the name uncultured bacterium. Its description in RNAcentral is "partial 16S ribosomal RNA". It matches the Rfam family "Bacterial small subunit ribosomal RNA", at positions 524 to 776 of the family's 1533-position model. The record is from RNAcentral.
UACGUAGGGGGCAAGCGUUGUCCGGAAUCAUUGGGCGUAAAGAGCGUGUAGGCGGCCAGAAAAGUCCGCUGUGAAAACUCGAGGCUCAACUUCGAGCUGUCGGUGGAAACUUUCUGGCUAGAGUCCGGAAGAGGAGAAUGGAAUUCCUGGUGUAGCGGUGCAAUGCGCAGAUAUCAGGAAGAACACCCGUGGCGAAGGCGGUUCUCUGGGACGGUACUGACGCUGAGGCGCGAAAGCGUGGGGAGCGAACAGG